UACGGAGGGGGCUAGCGUUGUUCGGAAUUACUGGGCGUAAAGCGCACGUAGGCGGCUUGGUAUGUCGGGUGUGAAAUCCCCGGGCUCAACCUGGGAACUGCAUCCGAAACUGCCUUGCUAGAGUAUGGGAGAGGGAAGUGGAAUUUCCGGUGUAGCGGUGAAAUGCGUAGAUAUCGGGAGGAACACCAGUGGCGAAGGCGGCCAUCUGGACGGUGACUGACGCUGAGACGCGAAAGCGUGGGGAGCAAACAGG
RNAcentral lists this ribosomal RNA (253 nucleotides) under uncultured bacterium. RNAcentral's name for it is "partial 16S ribosomal RNA". It matches the Rfam family "Bacterial small subunit ribosomal RNA", at positions 524 to 776 of the family's 1533-position model. The record is from RNAcentral.